This 407-nucleotide unclassified non-coding RNA is filed under the name soil metagenome. RNAcentral's name for it is "partial contains 5.8S ribosomal RNA, internal transcribed spacer 2, and large subunit ribosomal RNA". The stretch from base 2 to 122 matches the Rfam family "5.8S ribosomal RNA", at positions 35 to 154 of the family's 154-position model. The record is from RNAcentral.
GGAUGAAGAACGCAGCGAAAUGCGAUAAGUAAUGUGAAUUGCAGAAUUCAGUGAAUCAUCGAAUCUUUGAACGCACCUUGCGCCCUUUGGCCAUUCCGAAGGGCAUGCCUGUUUGAGUAUCAUGAACACCUCAACUCUUCAUGGUUUUCCAUGAUGAGCUUGGACUUUGGGGGUCUUGCUGGCCUGUGGGUCGGCUCCUCUCAAAUGAAUCAGCUUGCCGGUUUUUGGUGGGCAUCACAGGUGUGAUAACUAUCUACGCUUGUGGUUUUCCACCAGGGUAACCUUCAGCAGUGGAGGUUCACUGGAGCUUACAAAUGUCUCUCCUCUGUGAGGACAGCCCUUUGAAUGUUUGAUCUCAAAUCAGGUAGGACUACCCGCUGAACUUAAGCAUAUCAAUAAGCGGAGGA